UCCCAUUAAUUUUGUAAGUUUUCUUAAGUUCACUAAAAGGCAAAAUACCUUGAUCAUUACACAAGUCUCUUAUAGAGUGAAUACCUUUGAGAUGCCAAUGUCUUUUGAUGAGAUUCCUAUUU
This is a long non-coding RNA of Haliotis rubra (blacklip abalone), 122 nucleotides long. RefSeq lists it as uncharacterized. The record is from RefSeq and is a predicted model, not a curated record. The transcript is spliced from 3 exons. Lineage: Eukaryota; Metazoa; Mollusca; Gastropoda; Lepetellida; Haliotidae.